This 1825-nucleotide ribosomal RNA is filed under the name Trichinella murrelli. Its description in RNAcentral is "SSU rRNA". It matches the Rfam family "Eukaryotic small subunit ribosomal RNA". Lineage: Eukaryota; Metazoa; Nematoda; Enoplea; Trichinellida; Trichinellidae. The record is from RNAcentral.
AACCUGGUUGAUCCUGCCAGUAGUCAUAUGCUUGUCUCAAAGAUUAAGCCAUGCAUGUGUAAGCACACACUGUUUUAAAAGUGAAGCCGCGAAUGGCUCAUUACAACAGCCACAGUUUAUUAGAACUUACAAUCAUGGAUAACUGUGGUAAUUCUAGAGCUAAUACACGCACAAAAACUUCAACUGAAUUGGUUGAAGUGCUUUUAUUAGAACAAAAACCGAACGGCGUUUGGCGAAUGUUGAACGUCGAAACUGUUUGGUGAAUCUGAAUAACUAUUUCUGAUCGCAUGGUCUAGCACCGGCGACAUCACUUUCAAGCGUCUGCCUUAUCAACCUUCGAUGGUAGUCUAUGCGACUACCAUGGUGAUAACGGGUAACGGAGAAUCAGGGUUCGACUCCGGAGAGGGAGCCUGAGAAACGGCUACCACAUCCAAGGAAGGCAGCAGGCGCGCAAAUUACCCACUCCCAGCUUGGGGAGGUAGUGACGAAAAAUAACGAGACGAUUCUCGUUUGAGAAACGUUAUCGAAAUGAGUACGCUUUACACACGCUAACGAGUAGCAAUUGGAGGGCAAGUCUGGUGCCAGCAGCCGCGGUAAUUCCAGCUCCAAUAGCGUAUAUUAAAGUUGCUGCGGUUAAAACGCUCGUAGUUGAAUUGUGGUCUUAGACAACAGUCCCCCUACAUAGGUGUGGCACGGUUGCUCGAGAUCUUCAUUCGUGGUUGCUGUUGUUGCUCUUCAUUGAGUGUCAGUGGUGCCUCGAGAUUUUACUUUGAAAAAAUUAGAGUGCUCAAAGCAGGUUGUGAUGCCUGAAUAAUGGUGCAUGGAAUAAUAGAAUACGAUCUCGGUUCUAUUUUGUUGGUUUUCGAACCGGAGAUAAUGAUUGAAAGGAACAGACGGGGGCAUUCGUAUUGCUGCGUUAGAGGUGAAAUUCUUGGAUCGCAGCAAGAUGAACAAUUGCGAAAGCAUUUGCCAAGAAUGUUUUCAUUAAUCAAGAACGAAAGUUAGAGGUUCGAAGGCGAUCAGAUACCGCCCUAGUUCUAACGGUAAACUAUGCCAACCAGCGAUUCGCCGAAGUUCAUUUAAGACUCGGCGAGCAGCUUCCGGGAAACCAAAGUGUUUCGGUUCCGGGGGAAGUAUGGUUGCAAAGCUGAAACUUAAAGGAAUUGACGGAAGGGCACCACCAGGAGUGGAGCCUGCGGCUUAAUUUGACUCAACACGGGAAAACUCACCCGGCCCGGACACUGGAAGGAUUGACAGAUUGACAGCUCUUUCUUGAUUCAGUGGGUAGUGGUGCAUGGCCGUUCUUAGUUGGUGGAGCGAUUUGUCUGGUUAAUUCCGAUAACGAACGAGACUCUACCCUAUUAAAUAGUGACAGUAUUGUAUUUUUUGUGCUGAUCACUUCUUGGAGGGACUGGCAAAUUGAAAGCUGCACGAAAAAGAGCAAUAACAGGUCUGUGAUGCCCUUCGAUGUCCGGGGCUGCACGCGCGCUACAAUGAAAGCGUCAACGUGAGUUACGUCCUUACCUGAAAAGGUUUGGCAAUCGAAUGAAACGUUUUCUUGAAUGGAAUAGGGAAUUGCAAUUGUUUCCCUUGAACGAGGAAUUCCCAGUAAGCGUGAGUCAUUAGCUCGCGUUGAUUACGUCCCUGCCCUUUGUACACACCGCCCGUCGCUACUACCGAUUGGAUGAUUUAGUGAGGUGUUUUGACUGGCGCCAGUAGUCGGAUGUAUUCGGCUUCGCGCCGGGAAAUUUCCCAAACCAAAUCAUCUAGAGGAAGUAAAAGUCGUAACAAGGUUUCCGUAGGUGAACCUGCGGAAGGAUCAUUA